Molecule: ribosomal RNA, 464 nt
Filed under: uncultured bacterium
Lineage: Bacteria
Description: partial 16S ribosomal RNA
Rfam family: Bacterial small subunit ribosomal RNA
Source: RNAcentral
CUACGGGGGGCUGCAGUGGGGAAUAUUGGACAAUGGGGGCAACCCUGAUCCAGCCAUGCCGCGUGUGUGAAGAAGGCCUUUUGGUUGUAAAGCACUUUAAGCAGUGAAGAAGACCAUAUGGUUAAUACCCAUAUGCGAUGACAUUAGCUGCAGAGUAAGCACCGGCUAACUCUGUGCCAGCAGCCGCGGUAAUACAGAGGGUGCAAGCGUUAAUCGGAAUUACUGGGCGUAAAGCGAGCGUAGGUGGCUUGAUAAGUCAGAUGUGAAAUCCCCGGGCUUAACCUGGGAACUGCAUCUGAUACUGUUAAGCUAGAGUAGGUGAGAGGGAAGUAGAAUUCCAGGUGUAGCGGUGAAAUGCGUAGAGAUCUGGAGGAAUACCGAAGGCGAAGGCAGCUUCCUGGCAUCAUACUGACACUGAGGUUCGAAAGCGUGGGUAGCAAACAGGAUUAGAUACCCGCGUAGUC